UAGGGAAUAUUGCGCAAUGGGCGAAAGCCUGACGCAGCGACACCGUGUGUAGGAUGAAGGUCUUCGGAUUGUAAACUACUGUCAGUUGAAGACGAAGGCAGUAGAGUUAAGAGCUCGAAUGUUGACGGUAUUCAAUUAGGAAGUCUCGGCUAACUCCGUGCCAGCAGCCGCGGUAAGACGGAGGAGGCAAGCAUUGUCCGGAAUUAUUGGGCGUAAAGAACACGUAGGCGGUUUAUCAAGUCAUAUGUGAAAACCUUGGGCUUAACUUAAGGAUUGCAUAUGAUACUGGUAAACUAGAGUAUAGUAGAGGAAAGCGGAAUUCCUGGUGUAGCGGUGAAAUGCGCAGAUAUCAGGAAGAACACCAGUGGCGAAAGCGGCUUUCUGGACUGUUACUGACGCUGAGGUGUGAAAGCUAGGGGAGCGAACAGG
RNAcentral lists this ribosomal RNA (429 nucleotides) under uncultured bacterium. Its description in RNAcentral is "bacterial SSU rRNA". It matches the Rfam family "Bacterial small subunit ribosomal RNA", at positions 355 to 776 of the family's 1533-position model. The record is from RNAcentral.